Molecule: unclassified non-coding RNA, 329 nt
Filed under: soil metagenome
Description: partial contains 5.8S ribosomal RNA, internal transcribed spacer 2, and large subunit ribosomal RNA
Rfam family: 5.8S ribosomal RNA (bases 1-120)
Source: RNAcentral
GAUGAAGAACGUAGCGAAAUGCGAUAAGUAGUGUGAAUUGCAGAAUUCAGUGAAUCAUCGAAUCUUUGAACGCACAUUGCGCCCCUUGGUAUCCCGAGGGGCAUGCCUGUUCGAGCGUCAUUUCACCACUCAAGCCUGGCUUGGUGUUGGGUGACGUCCUCUUUGGGGACGCGCCUCGAAACGCUCGGCGGCGUGGCACCGGCUUUAAGCGUAGCAGAAUCUUUCGCUUUGGAAGUCGGGGCCCCGUCUGCCGGAAGACCUGCUCGCAAGGUUGACCUCGGAUCAGGCAGGGAUACCCGCUGAACUUAAGCAUAUCAAUAAGCGGAGGA